GGAGUGGUGGCUCAGUGGAAGAGCAUCUGCUCUGUGCGCAGAAGGUCCCGGGUUCAAUCCCCGGCAUCUCCA
Gekko japonicus is the source of this 72-nucleotide non-coding RNA. NCBI's taxonomy places the organism in Eukaryota, Metazoa, Chordata, Lepidosauria, Squamata, Gekkonidae. The record is from the annotation of a RefSeq genome assembly.